RNAcentral lists this ribosomal RNA (503 nucleotides) under uncultured bacterium. RNAcentral describes it as "partial 16S ribosomal RNA". It matches the Rfam family "Bacterial small subunit ribosomal RNA", at positions 30 to 523 of the family's 1533-position model. The record is from RNAcentral.
AUUGAACGCUGGCGGCAUGCCUUACACAUGCAAGUCGAGCGGGGUGAUGGUGCUUGCACUAUCACUUAGCGGCGGACGGGUGAGUAAUGCUUAGGAAUCUGCCUAUUAGUGGGGGACAACAUCUCGAAAGGGAUGCUAAUACCGCAUACGUCCUACGGGAGAAAGCAGGGGAUCACUUGUGACCUUGCGCUAAUAGAUGAGCCUAAGUCGGAUUAGCUAGUUGGUGGGGUAAAGGCCUACCAAGGCGACGAUCUGUAGCGGGGCUGAGAGGAUGAUCCGCCACACUGGGACUGAGACACGGCCCAGACGCCUACGGGAGGCAGCAGUGGGGAAUAUUGGACAAUGGGGGGAACCCUGAUCCAGCCAUGCCGCGUGUGUGAAGAAGGCCUUAUGGUUGUAAAGCACUUUAAGCGAGGAGGAGGCUCUUUUGGUUAAUACCCAAGAUGAGUGGACGUUACUCGCAGAAUAAGCACCGGCUAACUCUGUGCCAGCCGCCGCCGUAA